This 207-nucleotide ribosomal RNA is filed under the name uncultured bacterium. RNAcentral's name for it is "partial 16S ribosomal RNA". It matches the Rfam family "Bacterial small subunit ribosomal RNA", at positions 335 to 533 of the family's 1533-position model. The record is from RNAcentral.
ACUCCUACGGGAGGCAGCAGUGGGAAUAUUGGACAAUGGGGGCACCCGUAGCAUCCAGCGAUGCCGCGUGUGUGAAGAAGGCCUGAGGGUUGUAAAGCACUUUAGUGGGAGGAAAGUUAACAGGUUAAGAGCUAGUUAAGUUGACGUUACCCACCAUAAACAGCACCGGCUAACUCCGUGCCAGCAGCCGCGGUAAUACGGGGUGGC